CAUGUCUGAGGUCAGCCUCUCCUUGGAUGGGGCUUGCUGCAGCUGCUGUAGGUGAUGGGGAUGGGGCUCCUAGUCCAUUGGAGUUAUAUUCCCAGGGAGAUCCCUCUGCUGAGUCAUACAGGUUGCCAGGAAGUGAGGGAAAGCCAGCAGUCACGGGUUUCACCACACUCCCACACAGCCUGCGGUCCUAAAGGCCUAUCUCACUACCACCGUGAGCAACACGGAGUCAAUUUCCAGGAAGCCAGUGACCAGGUGCUGAGAAUUUGCCUCAGACCGCAAGCCGCCCCACUGAGAAAGCAAGCCGAUUCAGGUUUUCGGCGUCUCAGGGAGCCCGCAGCAGUGAUCUAGUUCCUUCAAAGGGUGUGUGGAUUUUCUCAGCUUUCCUGGUAUGUUGCUGUGGUAGUCACUGGAGCAAAAGUUCGUGAUGUGAAUCUUCACACGCUGCUCUGUCUGUCGGAGUGGGAGCUGCAAGCGAGUCCUGCCUCCUAUCCGCCAUCUUAACCCCUCAACCAAAGGACAAUCUGCCUUGCAGCACGUUUAUGGAUGAUAUGGAGUUCCCCUGCAAUGAAUAUGUGAACACUCUGUUCUUCAGGAUGGCACUUGGGAUGAUGUGGAGGUGGGCAGCAAAUUCGUCACUAAUUUUCCAGCAGCCAAUGAAAUAAAAGAAAACAAGGAUUUAAAAGAC
Macaca mulatta (Rhesus monkey) is the source of this 685-nucleotide non-coding RNA. Lineage: Eukaryota; Metazoa; Chordata; Mammalia; Primates; Cercopithecidae. The record is from RefSeq and is a predicted model, not a curated record.